UCUUGCAGCAGUACCCAGAGAAUUGUGACUGUAUCAAGACAGAACUGGAGUGUGUGGAAGUCAACCUACAUGACGUUCCUCAAGUCUCCACCAAUGUCACCUGGCUGUCUCUGAAGAGUAACAAGAUAAAGAGCUUGUCUGACAACAUCUUCUCCAAAUACGCACACCUGCAGAGACUGUUCCUACAGAACAACAGCAUUCAGACAAUCUCCAGUGAAGCCUUCAGUGGACUCUACAAACUAGAGAAACUGUUUCUUAGUGUCAACUCCAUUUCAUCUCUCAAACUGGGUGUGUUCAGUGAUCUCCGUAAUCUAUGGUGGCUUGUGUUGGAUCAUAACCCUUUGAAAAGUAUCUCCCAAGACACCUUCACCGGCCUCACCUCCCUCAUGUUCCU
Molecule: long non-coding RNA, 394 nt
Organism: Oncorhynchus kisutch (coho salmon)
Lineage: Eukaryota; Metazoa; Chordata; Actinopteri; Salmoniformes; Salmonidae
Exons: 5
Source: RefSeq, a predicted model, not a curated record